UACGUAGGUGGCAAGCGUUGUCCGGAUUUACUGGGCGUAAAGAGCGCGCAGGCGGUCGUUCAAGUCGCGUGUGAAAGCCCCCGGCUCAACUGGGGAGGGUCACGCGAUACUGAUCGACUCGAAGGCAGGAGAGGGUAGUGGAAUUCCCGGUGUAGUGGUGAAAUGCGUAGAGAUCGGGAGGAACACCAGCGGCGAAGGCGGCAAACUGGAUAGGCACUGACACUCAACAACGAAAGCGUGGGGAGCAAACAGG
Molecule: ribosomal RNA, 253 nt
Filed under: uncultured bacterium
Lineage: Bacteria
Description: partial 16S ribosomal RNA
Rfam family: Bacterial small subunit ribosomal RNA
Source: RNAcentral